CCUGUAGCUCAGUGGAUAGAGCACUGGUCUUCGGAACCAGGUGUCGGGGGUUCGAAUCCCUCCAGGC
RNAcentral lists this transfer RNA (67 nucleotides) under marine eukaryotic metagenome. It matches the Rfam family "tRNA". From Rfam's summary of the family: Transfer RNA (tRNA) molecules are approximately 80 nucleotides in length. The record is from RNAcentral.